CGCCUCUUGAAUUAAUAUAAGAGGUCUAGCCUGCCCAGUGACCCUGUUCAACGGCCGCGGUAUCCUAACCGUGCGAAGGUAGCGUAAUCACUUGUUCUUUAAAUGAGGACUAGUAUGAACGGCAUAGAAGGUUAUACUGUCUCCUUUUUCUAAUCAGUGAACCUAAUCUCCCCGUGAAGAAGCGGGGAUAAAACUAUAAGACGAGAAGACCCUAUGGAGCUUAAAACAAUACAGCACCUGCUAAAAUUUAACAAAUUCCAGAAUUUUACAUUUUCUAAGCACCAUGACUGUAAGUUUUUGGUUGGGGUGACCACGGAGCAUAAUAUAACCUCCAUGUUGAAAGAAUUUUAUUAUAAGCUAAAAAUUACAAUUUUAAGCAUCAAUAAAUUGACAUCUAUUGACCCAAUAUACUUGAACAACGAACCAAGUUACCCUAGGGGUAACAGCGCAAUCCACUUCAAGAGCUCCUAUCGACAAGUGGGUUUACGACCUCGAUGUUGGAUCAGGGUUUCCCAGUGGUGCAGCCGCUACUAAAGGUUCGUUUGUUCAACGAUUAAAACCCU
This 563-nucleotide ribosomal RNA is filed under the name Peltophryne gundlachi (Cuban high-crested toad). Its description in RNAcentral is "partial 16S ribosomal RNA". It matches the Rfam family "Bacterial large subunit ribosomal RNA", at positions 1819 to 2597 of the family's 2925-position model. Lineage: Eukaryota; Metazoa; Chordata; Amphibia; Anura; Bufonidae. The record is from RNAcentral.